Molecule: non-coding RNA, 30 nt
Filed under: Mus musculus (house mouse)
Lineage: Eukaryota; Metazoa; Chordata; Mammalia; Rodentia; Muridae
Source: RNAcentral
UGAAAUGAAAUAAACUCAAGCACUCAUUCA